RNAcentral lists this non-coding RNA (179 nucleotides) under Nomascus leucogenys (northern white-cheeked gibbon). Lineage: Eukaryota; Metazoa; Chordata; Mammalia; Primates; Hylobatidae. The record is from RNAcentral.
AGCCUGAAGAGCUGCUGCGUGAGUUCGUUGCCUUUUCCGAGGGUGACUCCCGCGGUCCCUAAGGCUUCCAGAGCGAACCUGUGCGGCUGCGGGCACCGCCGCGUUGAGUUUCCGGCGUUCCGAAGACCGAGCUCUUGUCCCGGAUCCCGUCCUCCGUUUCCAGCCCCGAUCUCAGAGCN